UGUAACCGCCAUCACGAUAACUUGCACAACACAAAUACGCAUACAGCUAUCAUACAUUUUUCAGAGAGACAACUUCAUUGUAUCGGCUUAAACUAGACCACAGGGACAGGUUCGGAAAAUAAGGUUUCGGAAUCGUGAGCUUAUAUGAAUGCUUGAAGACAUUUGAGGUUAUGAUGGAAGUCGACUUUAUAUUGAAUAUCCCACCAUGAGCAGAGCGACAUGAGUGAAUGCAAACAGAUCACGUGACAUACUCCAUCCGCCAUGAUACUAGGUUGGACGUUUCGCGCGGAAAGAGCUGUUGACGAUAAAUACAUUCAGAGUGAGUUAUUCAAGUUGUGACACUUUUUUGUGUUGCAUUGACGAGGGUGGACAACGUGCUGUGUUUGUACCGAGUUUAGAAUACUGUGUGUGGACAAAAUGACAAAAUGCAUUUUAAACAACCUUCUGUGGAGUGUACAACUAUGUUGUAAAGAUGAGUGACCUUCACACCAUCGUGGAUGUCGAUGGGGAAGCAGUGACGGCACACAGACCCAACGCUCAACCCAACACAGAACCUGUCCGACCAUUGCCAACCUCCCCUGCUCCACAGUCCGAGCCCGGCGCUACCACAGUGCCGGCACAUGGUUUCCAGAAAUACUUUGAGGAUAAAUCAGUAUUGUGCCCUUCAGGGUCUUCACAUGAAGACAUUGACGCCAUAAGGGGACUAUUGGAGCAGUCCCAGCCUACCACCGCUUGACAGACAUUUAAUAUGUGAAAGAAAAUGACACCGUGCAUAAAAAGACGCCACCAUCUUGUAAUUAUGAUGAUAAUGACUCUUUAGUUGUUUGACGAUCAUUACUGUGCUACAAACUUUCAAGCAACUAAAAAUCACCAAUAUUUACACCAGAUUGUGCUAUGGAACUUAACGAUGUAAUCCUCAUUUCAAGGUUUAAAGAGGACACUACAACCAGACCACGUUUUAAAGGGGACCACGCACGGAUGAUAACGCUUCAUUCCAGAUGGCGGGAGAAGAAACCCCCAUAGCACAGGAAACACGUUCAGAUGAGGAAGGCCAAGUGUGUGUUAGCAGUUCAAAGGACCUUGGCAGAAUGGAAGAUCAUUUUGAGAGGGCACACACAGAGAUGCGCCAAGCACCCCCAGAACAGAACAUUCAGCACCCAGAAGAUAUAGAGGGACCCUUUGCUAUUGUGUCGAGUGGCCAGAUCCGACAGGAACCACCUAUAUUUAGGACAUAUUUCAUUCACCUAUCAAAGGCCUGCAAUGAAGCUCACAUGGCCAUGGCAGAGGAGCGGGAUUAUGUGCAGGAAGAUACAGUCAUUGCUUCCCCAAAGGAAGAAGACGUAAAUACCUUUUCAAUUUCCAUAUCGGGGACACACUUGCCAGACAACAACAAGGAAUAUCUACACUUCGUAUUCAUCCCACCCCUUCAACAGCGCUUCGACAGUGGACUAAGGUCACUUGGUAGGAAAUAAGUACUAUAAGAAAGACAUGGGAGGACAGGUACAUCAAGACUCUGUGUCCAAAAUAUUGACAAUGCUUUAAAUUUGUUUGAAUACCUAAUAAUUAAAUUGUGUUAGCAUAUUUUAUUGGGCAUGUGUGAUCAAAGGCAAAGUUACUGUGAUCACAGGAUGAUUGGGAGAUUAAGAGCAAUUAUGACAUGGACCAUAUGCUUAUGGUUUUACAGAUUUUAAGUGUGUACAGAACAGACACUUGUAAAACCAGAUCAAAGACUAAUGUGUUGUUUUAAUUGGGAUAAAAUGAAACUGAUGAACAUCGCAUGUGGCUUGCAUGAAACCAUUUCAAUUAUUUAAGAACACCAAGACUGCAUUUGAAAUUUGAUUUUGCUUAAUCUUUGCUUAAGACCAUCAAAAUCUUAUUUUGUUCAUCUUCAGAAUAUUAAAUAGUAGUAUAUUUUCUAUCUAGAAAGAAAAAGAGAGAGGUUUUGUCUUAUGCGUUUCACAAUGCGAUAAAUACGAAGAUGAUCACAAUAAUCUUUGCCACUGAUCAUAUUAUACCAAUGAUGCAUUGUUCGCUACUGACCUGUGGG
RNAcentral lists this long non-coding RNA (2047 nucleotides) under Haliotis rufescens (red abalone). RNAcentral describes it as "uncharacterized LOC124138927, transcript variant X1". The record is from RNAcentral. Lineage: Eukaryota; Metazoa; Mollusca; Gastropoda; Lepetellida; Haliotidae.